GUAAACACAAUGAACAGACGAAGUAUCAUCGUUUUUUUCACAGAGAGACGGCUAUUUGCUGCAAGGCGGUCAAAAAAAGGUUGAGAAAUGCACCUGUAAGUGGCUUUGGCAAAACCAAAGACGAGUAAAGCUCGUUACGCUUUUAAUGAGAUAAUAAGUAAAGAAAGUGGAACCACGCUUGUAAGCGUCUUUCGA
Molecule: non-coding RNA, 195 nt
Filed under: Tetragenococcus halophilus
Lineage: Bacteria; Bacillati; Bacillota; Bacilli; Lactobacillales; Enterococcaceae
Description: T-box sequence
Rfam family: T-box leader
About the family: Uncharged tRNA acts as the effector for transcription antitermination of genes in the T-box leader family. T-boxes are found upstream of many aminoacyl-tRNA synthetase genes and some amino acid biosynthetic genes usually in Gram-positive bacteria. The anticodon of a specific tRNA base pairs to a specifier sequence within the T-box motif, and the NCCA acceptor tail of the tRNA base pairs to a conserved bulge in the T-box antiterminator hairpin.
Source: RNAcentral